UCUCCUGGAAACGGGUGGUAAUACCGGAUGCUCCGCUCCAUCGCAUGGUGGGGUGGGAAAUGCUUUUGCGGCAUGGGAUGGGGUCGCGUCCUAUCAGCUUGUUGGCGGGGUGAUGGCCCACCAAGGCGUUGACGGGUAGCCGGCCUGAGAGGGUGACCGGCCACAUUGGGACUGAGAUACGGCCCAGACUCCUACGGGAGGCAGCAGUGGGGAAUAUUGCACAAUGGGCGCAAGCCUGAUGCAGCGACGCCGCGUGCGGGAUGGAGGCCUUCGGGUUGUAAACCGCUUUUGUUCAAGGGCAAGGCACGGUUUCGGCCGUGUUGAGUGGAUUGUUCGAAUAAGCACCGGCUAACUACGUGCCAGCAGCCGCGGUAAUACGUAGGGUGCGAGCGUUAUCCGGAUUUAUUGGGCGUAAAGGGCUCGUAGGCGGUUCGUCGCGUCCGGUGUGAAAGUCCAUCGCCUAACGGUGGAUCUGCGCCGGGUACGGGCGGGCUGGAGUGCGGUAGGGGAGACUGGAAUUCCCGGUGUAACGGUGGAAUGUGUAGAUAUC
RNAcentral lists this ribosomal RNA (550 nucleotides) under Bifidobacterium animalis subsp. lactis. Its description in RNAcentral is "bacterial SSU rRNA". It matches the Rfam family "Bacterial small subunit ribosomal RNA", at positions 146 to 698 of the family's 1533-position model. The record is from RNAcentral. Lineage: Bacteria; Bacillati; Actinomycetota; Actinomycetes; Bifidobacteriales; Bifidobacteriaceae.